This 274-nucleotide ribosomal RNA is filed under the name uncultured bacterium. Its description in RNAcentral is "partial 16S ribosomal RNA". It matches the Rfam family "Bacterial small subunit ribosomal RNA", at positions 523 to 796 of the family's 1533-position model. The record is from RNAcentral.
AUACGGAGGGUGCAAGCGUUAUCCGGAUUUAUUGGGUUUAAAGGGUGCGCAGGCGGACCUGUCAGUCAGUGGUGAAAUCCCGGGGCUCAACCCCGGAACUGCCAUUGAUACUACAGGUCUUGAAUACGGUUGAAGUAGGCGGAAUGUAGCAUGUAGCGGUGAAAUGCAUAGAUAUGCUACAGAACACCGAUCGCGAAGGCAGCUUACUAAGCCGAUAUUGACGCUCAGGCACGAAAGCGUGGGUAGCGAACAGAAUUAGAAACCCUAGUAGUCC